UCUCCGUUGGUGAACCAGCGGAGGGAUCAUUAUCGAGUUUAUAACUCCCAAACCCUAUGUGAACUUACCACUUGUUGCUUCGGCGCGCGCUUCGGCGCCGCCGAGGACACUUAAACUCUUUGUUUUUAUAAGCAUUUCUGAGUGGCCGAAAGGCAAAAUACAAAUGAAUCAAAACUUUCAACAACGGAUCUCUUGGCUCUC
This 201-nucleotide unclassified non-coding RNA is filed under the name plant metagenome. Its description in RNAcentral is "partial contains small subunit ribosomal RNA, internal transcribed spacer 1, and 5.8S ribosomal RNA". The record is from RNAcentral.